UCAUAAUUUCAGUUCCAAAACGUGGUUAUUUGCUCCUACAAACACCAUAUUUUUGUCCCAAUUACCAAAUAUGCCRAUGUAUUUAUCUGGUAUGCGAAUGGUUGGGAUAGGAUGGGUGGUUGUGAUCGCAACAGGAAUAUCUUCAUUUGUGUUUGCUAAAAGACAUAUCGACAGAAAACGCCUUGAAAAACUGAAAGCWGAAGCGAAAAAGAUUAAAGAACAAGGGAACUAAUGUCAGGAGUAGUAGCCUCGGUCAGCCUACUAGUACUUUGCUCUGUUACCUUGAACAAUGACCUGUACAGACUUUAUAAUAGUUUGACUAUUAUUACCAGUGCACAAGAACUACGAAAACUUGCCAUUGAUUGAGUUUAUGAAUACUGAAUAACUUGCGAAGUACAAAAUGUCUAAAAAUUGAAUUGAAGUACAUACUUGCUUUGUAGCCCACUUCAAAAUAUCAAUGUUUUAAUUGAUAAUAAUAACAGAUGUGUUCUCAGAUGUGUAUAACAUCAAUUGAUCAAAUUGAUAAUUAUCUUUAUGUCGGCUGUUGUGCUGAUGUUUGGAAGCAUUUAUACAAGACAUAAACAAGAAGUGACAACAAAAAGACAGSGAAGAGAUCAAGAACAAGAAAACUGUCAUUUCACAGAAACCUGAUGAUGUAGAGGCAGUUUAUUUUAGAAACAGUCACCAAUAAUGAAAAUGUCAAAUGAAUUUGACAGAGAAACAAUUAGUUCACCAGACACUACCUAAUGGCUCAAAUAUUACAUAAUGUUUGGGUCUAUUUCUCAUGAUCUAAUGAGUAGCAAUGAAAAUCCAUGCACAGUAGUGUUAUAGUUUGUUGUAUCAGAUUGCUACCCUAUUCAAAAAGAAUAGGUCACAUUUAGAAACUUUACUUUUACAUUUUCUGACAAAUGUCUGGACCCACCUGUACGUCAUGGAUUUUGUUGGAUUAGAGAAUAUGUUUGCCUGAUAGCAAAAAGCGACAAUUAUACAURGACAGUGUUGACAAAUGAUCAUAUAGAGUAAUUAACACUACAUGACAGACACAUGUUUGUUUUAAUUGAGUCUUCAUAUAAUAAUUAUUAUAACAAUAUUUACUAAAUGAUAAUUACAUUUUCGAUUAUCAAUUAAUUCUGUAAAAUCACCCUGCCUAGAUACGCAUGUUUCAAGGUUCCACUAAGAGGAACUCAAUUAACAUAAUUCAGGGUUACCAUAACUCAAAGGUCAUUUUCCAUUUUCUGGAAAGGACAUGCAUCUUUGUAUGAACAGACCUAAAAUAUUAAUGAAAUGCUUGUUUCUGUUG
Exaiptasia diaphana is the source of this 1300-nucleotide long non-coding RNA. RefSeq lists it as uncharacterized. The transcript is spliced from 2 exons. The record is from RefSeq and is a predicted model, not a curated record. NCBI's taxonomy places the organism in Eukaryota, Metazoa, Cnidaria, Anthozoa, Actiniaria, Aiptasiidae.